This 460-nucleotide ribosomal RNA is filed under the name uncultured bacterium. RNAcentral's name for it is "partial 16S ribosomal RNA". It matches the Rfam family "Bacterial small subunit ribosomal RNA", at positions 338 to 795 of the family's 1533-position model. The record is from RNAcentral.
CCUACGGGUGGCAGCAGUGAGGGAUAUUGGUCAAUGGGCGCGAGCCUGAACCAGCCACGUAGCGUGAAGGAUGACUGCCCUACGGGUUGUAAACUUCUUUUAUCAAGGAAUAAAGUGAGGCACGUGUGCCUUUUUGUAUGUACUUUAUGAAUACGGAUCGGCUAACUCCGUGCCAGCAGCCGCGGUAAUACGGAGGUUCCGAGCGUUAUCCGGAUUUAUUGGGUUUAAAGGGAGCGUAGAUGGGUUGUUAAGUCAGUGGGGAAAGUUUGCGGCUCAACCGGAAAAUUGCAAUUGAUACUGGCAGUCUUGAGUACAGUUGAGGUAGGCGGAAUUCGUGGUGUAGCGGUGAAAUGCUUAGAUAUCACGAAGAACUCCGAUUGCGAAGGCAGCUUACUAAACUGCCACUGACAUUGAUGCUCGAAAGUGUGGGUAGCAAACAGGAUUAGAUACCCCAGUAGUC